This 754-nucleotide ribosomal RNA is filed under the name uncultured archaeon. RNAcentral's name for it is "bacterial SSU rRNA". It matches the Rfam family "Archaeal small subunit ribosomal RNA", at positions 102 to 859 of the family's 1478-position model. The record is from RNAcentral.
GGGUAACAUGCCCUAAGGUGGGGGAUAAUCUCGGGAAACUGAGGGUAAUACCCCAUAGGUCUGAUCUGCUGGAAUGCUUUCAGGCCGAAAACUCCGGUGCCUUAGGAUUGGCCUGCGGUCUAUCAGGCUGUAGUGGGUGUAACGGACCCACUAGCCCGUGACGGAUAUGGGCCUUGAGAGAGGGAGCCCAGAGAUGGACUCUGAGACAUGAGUCCAGGCCCUACGGGGCGCAGCAGUCGCGAAAACUUCGCAAUGGGGGCAACCCCGACGAGGGAAUUCCAAGUGCCAGCACUUUGUGUUGGCUGUUCUCCUGUCUAAAAAACAGGAGGAGUAAGGGGCGGGUAAGACGGGUGCCAGCCGCCGCGGUAAUACCCGCGCCCCUAGUGGUGGUCGAUAUUAUUGAGCCUAAAACGUCCGUAGCCGGUCUUUUAAAUCCUUGGGUAAAUCGGGCAGCUUAACUGUCCGAAGUCCGGGGAGACUGAGAGACUUGGGGCCGGGAGAGGUGAGAGGUACUUCAGGGGUAGGGGUGAAAUCUUGUAAUCCUUGAAGGACCACCAGUGGCGAAGGCGUCUCACCAGAACGGACCUGACGGCAAGGGACGAAAGCUAGGGGCACGAACCGGAUUAGAUACUCGGGUAGUCCUAGCCGUAAACGAUACUCGCUAGGUGUCGGCCACGGUGCGACCGUUGUCGGUGCCGUAGGGAAGCCGUGAAGCGAGCCACCUGGGAAGUACGGCCGCAAGGCUGAAACUUAA